AACUUGAUCUAGAGGUUCAGAGAUUUUAUCAGAAUGAGUUUCUACUUGAGAUAUUUGAUCAGGAUUAUUGAUAAAAACCUCAAUUGGACCUCUAUUCUCUUCUUUUUGAACCUGAGUUAUUUUAGAAAUAGAUUCAUCUUUAAAGCUUCUACUUUCUUUCCAUGAUUCAGCCAUUAUCCUUUUAAUUAUAAUUUUUUGUAUUUCAGGACUAGCUUCC
This 217-nucleotide long non-coding RNA is filed under the name Elaeis guineensis (African oil palm). Its description in RNAcentral is "long non-coding RNA (EGUI_LNC041100)". Lineage: Eukaryota; Viridiplantae; Streptophyta; Magnoliopsida; Arecales; Arecaceae. The record is from RNAcentral.